Molecule: non-coding RNA, 45 nt
Organism: Schistosoma mansoni
Lineage: Eukaryota; Metazoa; Platyhelminthes; Trematoda; Strigeidida; Schistosomatidae
Source: Rfam
AUCCAGCUGAUGAGUCCAAAAUAGGACGAAACGCGCGUCCUGGAU